GCCCGCAUAGCUCAGUCGGUAGAGCAUCAGACUUUUAAUCUGAGGGUCGCGGGUUCAAUUCCCCCUGCGGGCG
RNAcentral lists this transfer RNA (73 nucleotides) under Octopus sinensis (East Asian common octopus). RNAcentral describes it as "tRNA-Lys". It matches the Rfam family "tRNA". From Rfam's summary of the family: Transfer RNA (tRNA) molecules are approximately 80 nucleotides in length. Their secondary structure includes four short double-helical elements and three loops (D, anti-codon, and T loops). Lineage: Eukaryota; Metazoa; Mollusca; Cephalopoda; Octopoda; Octopodidae. The record is from RNAcentral.